AGAACCUUUAUUUUUGGUACUUCAGUGCAUGAUAGCUUUACUGCAAGAGAGACAGCGGUAAAGUGAUAGCCAGAAGUUAGUAAGUGGCUUCCCCAGAAUAUUUUUUUUCAGGCAACAGAAAGAAAAGAUUUUCUUUCAUCAAACACUUUCUGUGAUGGCAGCAGUUUGGAGCAAAUGUGUGAUAAGAAUAUCUGCAACAUAAAGAUAGCUGGGAACUUUGAAUCAGUCCCUUGGCUGACAGUGGGCAGCCCUGUGUGUUGUAAAGGAUGGUGUGAGAAAUUUUAUACUUGGCAGAUGUGGAAUAGUUUGCAGCCAUCCUAAUCACUGCUGCCUUGGAAUUGAUUUAACCCUGAAACAUGAGGGUAUGGAUGUGUAAUUAUGUCUAUGGUGGACAUGGAGAAAAGACAUAAGAUGAAUGAGAAGAAAUCAUGAGAUAUACAACUGGCACAGUGAGUGGAAUAAUUCCAGAGAAGUUUGGAAAGCAGUGAUGAAAUCUUAAGAUUUCAGAGAAAUGUUGCAGAAGAUUCUUCCAUGAUGCACAAGACUUGGAAAGAAGCUUCCAGUUGAACAAAAUAAAGCAAACAGAUAUUCACAAGUUCUGGGGGAGAAAGAGGUGAAUGAUUUCAACCUCAAACAAGGUACUGGCAACUAGGAAGGGAGGUUAACACCUGUUAGAGAUGACACCACCUCUAGAGAAUGUGUAAGCACGUAUGGUGUUUAUACAUAGGAGUAAGAAGGCCUAGAAAAACUUUUUUGUGUGUAUUUUGAGGACAGUGAGAGGUUAGAAAAUAUGUACGUCUCCUCAAAGUUAAAUUUCCCAUUAACAUGGGUGCGGUCAUCUGACACAGUUCACAGUGUGAGAUGGUAGAGAGGGUUUGUUUUAACCACACAAAUCCCCUUAGGUCAGACUCUUGUCUCUGUGUGGCUGGUGCUUGAUUCACAGAGAAAAUUUUACUGAACAGAGCAUUGGCUGUGACAUUUGCUAGGCAAGCUUGAAAAUCUAAUGCCAUACAUUAUUAAUAACGAUAAGUGUUCUGCAAAGAGAAGAUAUCAGUACUGGAAUCAUGUUCAAGCACUAUAUGCCAACUGAUUUUGUUCCAUCACUCUAUAGCAAAUACAAUUAUAUGUUAUCGAUAUUAAAGAUGCCCAUGUCAUGGAUAAUGUGAAUAUAUAAUGCAAAGUUGUAAUGAAUUUUGGAAUAUCUGAUUAGUCAUGGGAAAACUGCUUAAAAAAGAGUAUUCCAUCUACAUUUUGAACAUGUUUUUUUAUACACAGAAUGACCGAUUACACUUGUAUUAUAUGCCAUUUAUUUUGCAUAUUUUAAUUUCUAAUUACUGAUAAAUUAAGAUGACACUGAUCUAUUAAUGCCUACUGAAUGUUUAAUUCAUGGAUACCUUAAAGUGCUCACUGUCGCAGAGGAUUCUGAUAGGUUUUGGCUGGAACUCCAAAGGAGUGACAUAUUUCUAACCUCUGACUCUGUUAUAUCUACCAGGAAAUUGAAGCAUCAAUGCCACUUGAUUGAAGCAUCAAUUGCACCCUCCACAAAAUUAUUCCUUUUAAAUUAUUAAGAUCUUAAGCUGAAAUUCAUCUCAGAAGGGAGCCAUCCUAAUGCUAUGAAUGCUUAAUACAACUUAAAUCUGUAAAUGAUUACUGGCUGCUUUAAUGUAAAGUGUUUCAACUCUGAUGUAUUCUAUACCCUAAACAGAUAAUCAGCAAAUGAUGGGAAUUUUCAUCUCUCUGACUUAUGCCUGUACCUGUAGAUGAGAUGUCUUACCCAAAUGGCAGAAAGACAAGGGAUCACCAAGAAAUACAUGUCUGCAUGUUAGGAACCAGAAAAAGAUGCAGCUGAAUAAGCCAGGGCUUGCCAAAUGUCUUUGGACUGUUCUACUGAUGAACAGUUUGUAGAUGUUACAGCAAACCUCUACCAGAAAAUCAGGUUCAGGUUGUAGAGGAGUACAAUCCUAUUUUUUUGCUUCAUGAUGGCCUAUAUCUUUGGAAAUGCAGAUGAUUCUGUACCUUGGGAUGUAUGAGCAUCUUGAUGGCUCGACAGUCCUGAUCUCCAGCUGCUUGCACUGGAUACAUGGCUAUCCUGUGGAAGGUAACCCAGGUGCACAUGAGUAAAGGAGUUGUGCUGUGCUGUAAUGCCUCCUUAAGUCAGCACAGGGGCAGAUUUUUCAGGGGGCAGCAAGGGCUGAGAAAAGAGCCAGGAGCAGAGAGGGGCAACAAGGUCAGCAACAGCAAGGUGACCAACCCCCCUGCCAAAUAGAAUCACCUAGAGAUCCACCUCUCCUUUCAGUUCCCCACCAAGAAGGAGUGAGUGGACAUGGGGCCUGACAGAACUGUGCUGCCAUGUGCACAGUGUGUGUGAUUCCUACUUCCCCCAGUGUCAGAAAACAUGGUUUUAAGACCUGUUAUUCUAUUCACAGGGUGCAAGCUGUCAAAAACACCUUUGCAGGCUUCAGGAGCAUAUUGUGCUCACAAAAACAGGUAUUGGAGCCAUGGAUCCUCUGUUAGCAGCAGGCUCCGUAGAAAUGUAAAUGCAAAAUCACUUGGCAAAUGCCCAUAGCUGGAAGUGAUUUUUUCUAGGAGCAGAGGCAUUGACAAUCAUCAUUUCCAAAGAUUUUAGUCAUGCUUGCUCUGACCCUGUUGCCCCAAAUCCUAGCUUUGCUGGAGGAGGACACGUGCUGGGUUGAGCAGUUAACUAAUGGUUAUUUUCUUCUAGACAGUAGUGUUCCCAGGGAAGGGGAAGCAAUCCAUGUAUCUUGUUUGUGUGUAGUGACAGUAAGAGGCUUAAUUAAUUAGUGUUCAUGCUGAAAUGUUGGCUGAAAUUCUUAAAUGAAAAGGCAUGCAGUGUUGCCUUUCUGAAGGGGCCUGUGGCUGAACAUUUUCAAAAGCCAUCACACCUAAGUGCUUUUAACAAUGAAAAUAAAUUUUGUGUGGUUGUGAGGUGGUGUUGGAGUGGGGAGAGCAUAUUGUUUUAUGUUAGUGGAGAGUAUUUUGUGGUAGCAGUAUUCUAUAGAAUUGUUGGCUUUUUUUUUUUUAAUGCUAAGAUCCUGUGAUAAAUAUGCUAAAUGUUGGUCUCAGUUGCAACCAAUGCCCUUGCCAAGUCAUUGCCACAGUCGGUGCAUUGAGAUCAGGGAUUUCAUUUCCCUAGGAGAAAGUGAGCUGGGAAACCUUUGUUUUCAUAUCACUUCACUGCUCAUGUAUACAUUAUCUAUCUGUCACAGUGGUCAUUCAGGCUUGGUGCCAAGGUAGCCAUAAGCUUUCAGGACUGAAGAGAUGGCAUUGUUCAACAGAAAUGCCAGCACAAAGAAGGCAGCUUUCUGGAAUCCCUCCACUCCCCUCUCAGAGCAGAUGGCACGUGCCACUUCUUUUAGAGGUUCACAGCUUCACUCUUAUGAGUUAUUUGGUAGGAUAUCAGACAAGCCAGGGAGAAUAAAAUGAGAACCUUUUUGGAGGCCUUAAGCCAUGAGCAGGUCAUAUGGAUGCAUGAGUAUUGCAGCCAACGCUCUGCAAUCAGCCAUUUGUAUUCCUCUGAAUAGUGCAGGUAUGGUACUGCCAUUGGUAAGCCACAUGGAGAUCAUAAAACAAAACCUAGAAGUUAAUAAUUAAUCAAAGCCAGCAAAAAUGUGUUCUGCUUUAAUAUGACAAUGCCAGUACAUAAAAUCUUGAGCUAACAGACACUUUAAAAAAUGAAUGGUGAUUACUGUUACAGCAGCUGUUUCAUCAGCCACUUCAGAAUCACAAUAUGUUAGUCAGCAAUGCAUUCACAGAUGACAUAAGGACAGUUCAGAGUUGAGACUUUCCAUACCGUGAGGUCUAUAGAUGCUAAUUAUUUCAGUGGAUGUGUCCUGUUGAGAGCUUCAACAGAGAAUCUGGGGACAGGGCAUUGGAAGAAAUCAUCACGCUAGGUGAGGAGCUGGACAGUGUGUCUGAACUGUUUGUUGUCUGAUGAGGCCCAGUUAGGUGAGUGUGUGUGUGGGGGGGGGGGGGGUGGGCAGGGAGAGAAGGAAGGCUGCAUCUAUCCUAUUUGCUGUGUUGCCCUAUCCUUGUUCCCACCUGCCUGUCACUCCUAUUUAAACUACAAGUUCUCUGGGGCAGAGAUCAUCUACUACAAUCUGUCAUGUUCUGCGUUGUGCUUUAAGAUACUGCUAUAGUAUAAAUACAAGUUGAUUUAAUCUCCAGGGCUAUUAAUUUUGUCACUUUUCACUAAUGCUAUGUUUACUAGCUAUACAAGUUUGAGAUUCUUAAAUUGUGAUUUAAGCUUUGAUUACCUGACAGCUUUGCAAACUUUUGUUCAGAGGAUCAGAUGAAGUUACACUUUAAUGGGAUAAAAUAAUGAAUAGCGAAGCUGUGAAGAUUUGAUGUUGGGUGUAUCCAUCUAAAAUGUGAUUGUAAUCAAAACUCCACCCUUGAAUAAGUUAUUGCAAUUUCAAGUAACUUGCUUACAACCUGCUUGUAGGAUAAUCCUUACGCUAAUUUGUUGGCAUUCCAUGGGGAAUUGCAGGUAAAAAUAAUUUACAAGGGCUUCAGAGAUAAACCAAACAAGCUGGCAGAAACCUUGAUCUGUCUGUCUGCUAAAAAUAAGUUGCUAGUGGACAAAGCAAACCCAUAGAUAUACAGAUGUGUUAAUUCCAUAGUCUGUGUAAUCUGAUAUUGUCAUCAAAAUCUCAUGUGAGGGACGUGUCUAUGGCACUACUCAGUUCAAUGGAAAUUGACUUAAAAACUCAGUCUGCAAUGAAACCACAAGAGCCUGUUAGAAAGUAUCAGUAGGACUUGACCUCCCUCUUCUCUUCUUUUUAUUUUCCCCCCUUUCAAAGCUUAGCCAAAAGAAGAAAAACAAACAACAACAACAACAACAACAACAAAAAAACACAACCUAGGAUUGCUAGUACAUCAGAUAGCCGGACUGACCAGAAAAUUUACAUCGAUUUCUAACAAAUGUUGCUGACUUGAGCAGUUUAGAUAAGGAUCUCACUUUGCAUUCGUUGAGUUUUGCUCUGUACCAUGUGAUGGCAAGAGAGAUUAAAAACCACCAACAGACAACUCUGGAGGUUUUACUGUGAAAUGUGUUCUGUACUUCUGUGUUUUAACUGUUGGUUUUGCUCAAUAACUAAGUACCUAUGGUAUUUGAUUAUGUCAGUUAUUUUAUAAAUUUCAAGGUAAAAAGGGAACCCACAAAAAAUGAGCAAAAACCAACAAAUAAAACCCACCAUUUUUCUUUCUGCCUUUUUUUUUUUUCUUUCCAUGACAAUCUCUCAGGAAGAAAGGAGUAAGUAUGUUGCCUUUGUAAUUGAUCUGUUCAACAAACAAACAGCUAAGCAAACACUUUUUGUUUUAUAAGUUUCCUGGAAGGCCCAGGUAAGAUCAGUACUCUGCAGUAGUAAGUGCCCUACAAAAGCACCAACAGUACCAUGAACAGCCUGUGAAGAUCGGAGACAAUAAGGACUAAUGUGGAGGCAGUGCCAUGGGAAACAGCACUGAGCAGAGAGAUAUGCCCACUGGGCUAAGGCUAGAAAUAGAAAUGAAGCACAGAUUGGCCAACUCUCAAGCACUGUUUAAAAGCCUCUUCUUCCUUUCUGCUCCACCUGUUGCUAUGCACAUCUGCUGAGAGACAUCAAAUUCUUAUUCUGCUGACUUCAGUUGUUGAUUAGGGAAUGUUGCCAGUGCCUCUGUUAGAGAUCAGUCCUGUACUGUACACUGGCUUUUAAAAUUCAUUGAGUGCCCUCUGUUUUUUUAUGCCACAACUAAAAUUCCUGCUGGUUUAUGAUGCUAGGCUCAGAGAUCAAAUAAAUACAGGCCUUGCAUUAUGUACUUAUGACACUGAAUUAGUCAUAGUGGCAGUUUUGAGGGCACAUUUAUUUCUAGAAUCUCCUGUUUAAUUUAUGAUUGUCUUGUCCUUCACAGCUCACACUUUCCCCUCCCCCAGUAAUGCUUCCAUUCCACAGGCUUAUCCAUCCAAGGAAUUUCCCUGACAACAAAAAUAUCAAAAAUAUAAAAAUAUGACCCUGUAUUCUCUUACAAAGAUGCAUCCUGCUAUUGAUUCACCCUUGAUUUUUGAGUACUGGUUUCUCUGGAAGGUAUGCAGAGGCUAGUUCUCAAAUGCUUCUCUUCCUUCUUCUGGCCAAGACUAACAGUGCCAGCAAUGCUCCAAACCAGUUUGUCUUAGUGUACCCUUUGUCCUCUCGAUCAUUAUUGCAAAGGCACUCUUUCCUUCAGCUUAUAUUUUGCCAGCUGCAGUGAUUGUUCAUAGGCUUACUAACAAGGCAAAUAAUGGACUUCAUUUUCCCUGUUGAGCAAGGAGCCAUCAGACCUACCUUCUUAUCUUUAUUCUGCUUUUGAGCUGCUACAUGAUGACUACUUCAGCUGUCUUCCCUAUUUGCAUUAAAUUCUUCACAAGAAAAGCUGGGUUGGAAAGAGCCUAAAAUAUCUAAAAGUGGUUUAUAUGGAACUUCUCAAGUUGCUCUGAUAUGGAGAAGGAUCCUCUUCCACAAGGGAGAUUUCACAAAGUCAUUCCUGUUACUGGCAUUUGGGUUGUGUGGGUUGACUUCUCAUACAGUCCAAGUAGAUGAUUGUGCCUGGAGAUAUGCUGUAGAUACUGUAGGACUAGUAUGAAAUUACCUGGCAAUAGAGAUAUAAGUAUUUCCUGGGUUCAGAAAUAUCGUAGGAGAUUUCUUUGAGAUGUUCCAUACUUCUUCUCUCAGUACUACACUCUAAGGUUUUCUACAAUUUUGGUUGAAGUCUCUGAUCUCUUCUAGUCAGUGUCCUUCAUAUUGGCAACUCUUCCUUGAAGUACUGCAGUGUGGUAAGGUUUCAAGUAGUAAGUACCAAAUUUAAACAUAUAUGCAUACUUGGUUAUCCUACUCUGUAUGCUCUCUAUGACUAGAUUAUUUUGUAUAAUGGAAGGAAUGCCAUAUAAUUAUAGGAAAAUGUGAUAACACUUGAUUUUUAGAGAAAAAAGAAAGCGUAGUUCCUUUAACUACUUUCAUUAUAAAGAAAUGCAAAAAGAAGGGAGACAAUCUUGGAAUAUUCCAGUGCUUUCCUUUUGAUAUGCCUGUGUACUCUAAAACGCAUGCACAAGUGCUUUCAUUGGGGUAGGGAGGAACAGUUAUAUGUUCCUCUCUCUGUGGAUAACCAGAGGGAGAUUCUUAUUUAGAGAAAUAAUUAAGAAGAGAUGCUAUAGUGAAGAGGACAAAAUGGCUUCCCAGGUCUCACAAGCACUCUGUGUUCAUGCUGUCAUUUUAAAUUUGCUAACUUGCUCAGAGAAUGGCUGGUAGCUGUCAGUCAGAGGAGUAACAUGCGUUAACAAGCUUAACAGUGUUUGAACACUGCCUUGUGUGCUGACAGCACUUCACUUGAAGUGCACUUUAGUUGUUCACCUAGGCAGAAGAAAUAUCUAGGAACUUCUGGACCCGGUUUUGCUCUAUUCAAAAUCAAUUCAAGUUUUGUCAUUGAACUUAAUAGGCAUCGGAUCGGCCCUUUAGUGCUACGUAAGUGGUAGACACAGGAGAAAUUGAGACUAAAUGGACAAAAGGUGCAUUGUCUUUCUUUAUUUGUCCUUGCUGAUGAGUAGGUGCUGAUGAAUUUAACUCUCAGACUGAUUAUGUAAAUGAAAACUUUUAAAAUAACGUUACUUUAUAGCAUUUUUGUGUGUGCUAAAACUACAGUUUCAUUACUCUGAUAAAAGGUAAAUCUAUUUGCAAGGUUCAGUGCAGUUUCAAGCUAAAAUUUAAUAUUUCAGUUUGUUCUACCAGCACUUAGAACCAUGAAUUUUGAAGUAGAAAUGAUAUAGAAAUUAGACAUCUACAUUUAAAAUUGCAAAUCUCACUUUGAUAAUAAAAGGUUUUCUUCUAUGAAAAAAUGCAAAGAUGAUGCCAGGCAAUGGUCUUUGGCUGUGUGUCUAUCUCAGAGCUACUCUUGGCUGACCACCUACAUCAUUCAAAGUAUAUCUCUGGUGCUACCCAUACCACUUACCCAUGUCCCUUCAGUGUAGUAGAUAUUCUCAGGCCAUGCUUGGACACUUUGUGGGAUGGGCUCAAUCACAAAACACAGGGAUGAUAGGAGGUUUUCUUUAGCUUUGUCUGUUUAACGUGCAGGAAUUGUCUGCUCUGCCUGCUGAAAAUAUUUCCUUAGUGUUAAAUAAAUGUGUUGGGCCAGGAAAGAUGCUUCCUAAGGCAUGUAAUUGUUGGUCUUUUUUUUUUUCCUCCUUGAUAUCCAAACUAAUGAUUAAAUGUUUAUGGCAACUGGUAGUAAGUUAAAUUAGGUGAAGUUUCCCCAGUCAUGUUAGUUUUGCCUGUGACAACUGGAUAAUUACUUAAUGAAUGAACCUUUUUUUUUUGUUGUUUGUUUUUUUUUGUUUGUUUGUUUGUUUUGUCUUUCUGGGGAGUUCCAAUUCUUCACUACAUGAAGACAUCACAAUAUUGGUUAGUUGGAGAGGUGCUUCUACCCUCUCAUCAAUUUUGUGGCCUUUCUCUGGACCCAGUCUGACAGAUCAACAUCCUUCUUGAGCUUGGGACCCCAGACCUGGUCUCAGCUUCAGGACAUAUACUUGUCUACCUUGCAGGUGUUUUAUUUUGGUUUUAUAUGAGGUAAAUGGUACUGGUCACCUUUGGAUGUGGAGUACUGGACUAGAGAGAUCACAUUUCUCACCAUAUUGGCAUUUCCUUUUAGUAACAAUAACCUUUGUUUAACAGAAGGAACCUGGCUGCUGGAGCAGAAGCAUAUUAAUAGAGCAGACUAAUUAAGCUCAUAAAAAUCCAUUUUUUUCGCUAAUAAGAAAAUUAAUUUGAUUUUUUUGUAUUAAGCAUCUGCAACACUUGUAAUACUCGUGUAGAUAUUUGGUCUGGAAAAUUAAAGUGUGGAUAACAAGAAGACAGUUGAUGUAAGAAGAAAGGUAAAUAAGAAAAAGUGUGGGCAGAUAAGGAAAGGUUUAGAAUAUUUAAAGAAUAAUAGAUGAAAAAGACGGUUCAGUGUAGAUAAAUGAUGAUUAAUGAUUAAUGAGCUCACUGCAAAGCAUUUCUAGCAUUCUUAGGUGCUUCACUUAGAGAAAUAUACAUGUAAAACAAGGGAAGAUAUCAUGCUGUAAAUUUGCAUAAUUCCACUGAGGUCAGUAGAACUUUGCUGUUUUUACACCUCUGAAGGACUGGACCUUUAAAGAGUAAGUGUUGGGGAUGAAUGGUGAGAAAGAAAGGAAUGUUAGCGUCUUCAGAAACUCUGCAUGGGACAGUGGGGUUGCAUUACUUUUUCAUUAGUAGCUAAUUUGCUCCAUUUGUUAAGGCAAUACAAAGUAUAAUAGACAUUCUGUACAUUACUUUAAAAAUUCUUAAAGUAGAACUUUAAGAACUUCAGAGACUAUCUAAAGCACUUCAGUGUACUAAAGGAAAACCUCUUCAAGUCUAUAAAGAGCUGUUAUACUCUAAACUGUAGAAGAGGUUUAUUUGAAAGUUUUAUUGGUUACUGAUAGUUGCACUUUGAAGGCACCUGACAUCUAUGUGUAAUCCUGCCAUGUUUAUUUUGUCAGUUAAUGUUUUAAUCAGUAGUUGGAUUAGAUGGCCUUUACCUGCACACAUCUCAGAGAAACUUUUUCCAACUCUGACAUUCCUAAUCUCUCUCUUGUUUUUGAGGUCAUCAAACAUGCUUUAGCCUUGAGAGUUUAUUUUGGGGGGUUCUGCUUGUUUGGCCUUCUGUUACUCUGGUUGCUUCUUCAAUGUCCUUCUGAUGUGGUAUUUUGUUCUGAUCAUCUGGUCUUAAAAGCAGUUUCAAAAGGCUGUCAUCUUGGGUUUACUGUCAAACUUCCACAGUAAGGUCAUCUGCUCACAUGAUUUCAGCUAUUUUUCCAUUGAUUUCUUCUACUGCUAACUACAUUGCUUGACCACUUUUGGAGUACUGUGACCUGUGAACAUCUUAUCUGAGAUAUAUCAAUUUGAAGAACACAAAUGACUUGAAAUCCAGAGUUUUUACUUAACUGAAACCUUAAAUCAAUUAAAAGCAAAUAAAACAAACCAAAGAUAAUAAAAAUCCACACUCACCAUAAUCUAUGCAUCUAAACUUGCAACCCAAUAAGGACAGGAAAGGUUCUUCACUUGUUUCAGUUCUAUUAGUGGGUAAAGUGUCAUUACUGUUAUGUCACAUUUCAAAACUUCUUAGCUUACUUGUCAAAUGUUUGGUCUGUGUUUUUAACAUUUUGAGGAACGAAUGGAUGUGCAUUUCGUCUGGAUGACUUACCUUGGUUAAAACUUCUCACUUCUCAGGGAAAGAAUGUGGGCUCAAAGCUUAUAGUGACAACAAAGUGUAGUAAAACUUACUUUCUUGUUUAAGUCUUUAGUUGUGUAACUUGCUAGAAAACAUGUGCAUUGGGUUUAUGAGGCAAGAUUCUGGUAGUGGGGGACUGCAGAGAUGGCCUCUGUGAGAAGAAUCCAGAAGCUGCCCCCUGUUAGAUAAUGGCCAGUUUCAGCCAGCUCCAAAGGGACCCACUGCUGGCCAGAGCUGAGCCAAUAAGUGAUGUUGUUUGUGCCUCUGUAACAGGAGAUUUAAGAAAGGGGGGGAAAAAAAAAAAAAACUGCUACACAAAGGAGUAUUGAGAGUGAGUAGUGAGAACCAGCCCUGCAGGGCACCACAGUCUGUGAAGGGGGAGGGGGUCCAGGCGCCAGAGCAGAAGUUCCCCCGCAGCCUGUGGAGAGGCCCCUGGUGGAGCAGGCUGUCCCCCUGCAGCCCAUGGGUUCCACAUGGAGCAGAUCUCCAUGCUGCAGCCUGUGGAGGAGCCCCCAAUGGAGCAGUUGGAUGUGGCCCGGAGGAGUCUGUGGCUGGUGGAGAGCCCCUGCACCAGUCGGAACUGCAGCCUGUGGAGAGGAGCCCAUGCAGGAGAAAGGGGUCUGGGGGGAGCUGCUGCCUGUGGGGGGACCUGUGCUACAGCAGUUUGCUCCUGACAGAUGUAUCCUGUGGUAUGGACCCGUAUUGAAGCAAUUCUUGAAGAGCUGCUGCCUGUGGGAAGCCCAUGUAGGAUCAGUUUGGGAAGGACAGCAUCCUGUGAGAGGGACCCUGUGCUGGAGCAGUGGAAGAGAGGGACUGUGAAGGAGCAGCAGAGAUGAAGUAUCAUGGGCUGACCGCAGACCUGUUCCCAGAUCCCCUGUGCUGCUCAGGGGGAGGAUAUAGAAGAGGGUGAAUGGGGGGGAGGUGUUUGUAGUUUUAGUUUUUCACUGCUGUAGCUUGUUAGUAAUAGGUAAUAAACUUCAUUAAUCUCCCUAUGCUUAGUCUGUAUUGCCCAUGAUGAUAAUUGUUGACUAAUCUCUCUGUCCUUAUCUCAGCUCUUGAGCCCUUUUGAUCAUAUUUUCUCCCCUUUUUCCUUUGAGAAGGGAGAGGUAGAGAACAAUUGUGGUGGAGCUCAGCUGCCCAGCUGAGUAAAACCACCACAAUAAGUAAAAUCAAAAGCUAGCCAAACAGCUAGCUUUCUCUUGACCAACAGUUUGACAUUUGUGUUCUAUUGUCCAAUUUGUGUUCUAUUGUCCGUUUUGUCCUUCAACAAUAGCACUUACAUAUGUAGCUAUAUAACAGAUUUUGUUUUUAAAUUAACCUGCAUCUUUCUUCAAAGAAAUGAGAUAAGAAUCAAAAAUGGGACAAUGCACAGUCUUAGAUUCAUAGGUAGUAUGCCUUUCAGAAACAUUCUAUUUCACAGGGCAAAUAUGCUGUUCUUCAAGGAUAACAUUCACACAGAUUUGAAGCUGUGGCAUUUUCACAGAGUGAAGAGUUCCUAUCCACCAUCCAUAGUGUCCUAACAAAUGACCAAGAUUGUAUUUCUUCUUAAUAACGAAUAGGUUCAUAAUGCUCAGGUGUGUACACUGCAUGUAAGACAGCAUACGUGAAAAGCUGUAGAACCUACUUCAGCUCCUCAUGUGCAAGAGAUUUCCAUGAAGGGCUCCUAGAUACCCACAAUGGAUGUUUCCACCUCCAUCUUCUAUGUAUCAGCCCAGUCCUCAACAUGAUAUAAAGGAUUAGCUCUCAAAGUGAAUGUUUUCUGGUAGGAGACACUCAUGGAUGGACAUACCAGGUUUGAUAACAUCAUGGAGAAAGGCAAAGCCAGAAAGAAGCACCUGGUUUGUGAAUUUUCAAGUUUUUCUUUUCUGAGCAAUACUGUUUCCAACAUCAUGUUGAAGAUUGCUUCUGUCCUCCACCAACAUCAAUUCCACAUUUCAUUGUUAGUAAGCAAGCCAACUUUGGGAAGAACAAAACUUGAUCUCAUGGAAUAUUUCUACUGUACUGCUUAGUUACUCUUUCUUGAAUGGACGUUUUAUUCCUUCAGUGUGUAAAUAAAUCAUUUCUGCUCAAGAGGGCUUACUCUGCAACAGCUCUUGAUUUCCUUCUUGCUUACAGUAGUGGAAAUCACCACUAAUUCCACAGAAAUUGAUGAGAGCUAUACUAACUGUAAAAAAUAAAGUAAGCAGUGGAGAAUCCAGCACUACCUGAUAAAUUUUAAAAGCAUUAUGUGAUUAGCUCAUUAGACAGCUGUGUAAACAUGAAAUAACUAUUGAACAAAAAGUGAGCUUGUGCUAAAGAAAAGAAAAUCUCACAGAGCAAACAUCUAUAACAUGAAACAAAUUCCAUACCACUCUUUAGCAAUGGGAAGUGACUUCAUUGCAGUGAAUGGAUUUGAUUAAGACAGGGCAUACUAACUCAGGCACAGUGCCAUAUAAAUAUAUGACUUCUGUAAAUCCAUGGAUUCUGAAUUAAAACUGUUUAAUUAAGUGCAGUAAUUUAACAGCUGUAAACCCAGCUCACAGAAGUGUGAUAACAUCCAGUCUUUCUUCCGCUUUAUUCUUCAUUUGAGAUGAACUUUACCUCCUCCUUUCUCUAGUCCUAUUGACAAUUAUUUUUUUCCUUUCUAAAAUCAUUUUUCAUAGUCCUUGGCUGUCAAAAGGAGGGAUUAAUGCUUUAUGCUCAUCCUUCUGUCAUAAUAUGAGGGACUGUCGUGUGUGGAUUGAUUUCAUCCAUUGUUCUGUCCUUUAAAAAAUAUUUGUCAAUAAAAUAUAUGCAAGGCAAAUCCUUUGGCACUAACAUUAUGAGCUGAUUCAUCUUCACCACCAUGAAACUGGCUGGAAAGAAUAUGAGGAAAAACAAUCUGCUCUCAUGAUAAACCUGAGUUGUACUUAGGAUAAAUACUGCUCUACUUAUCUGCUGAAAGCAAAGCACAUUAUAUUGAGAAAUGGAAACUGAAUAAGAUAAACUUAUUCUCCUGACCUCAUUCAUUUUCAGAUGCAUUUCAAAGUUGCUCUUUUAUUGGAAAAAAUCUACAAGUUGAAUAGGAAAACUCAGUUUUUGCACUCUAAUUAUUCUGUUGACUGGUUAUAUCGUCAUCUCACCAUUGUAAUGCCAAUAGCAUGAAAUUCAUUUUCUUUCUCUUUGGAAGCUGCUCUGUUUGCCUAACAUAAUUAAUAUUAUGUCUAGUAUUGAGGUGUCAAACAUUAAAAAUACCAUGAGAUUGUUUAUGAGCAGUAAGGCUUUUGUAAAACAACAAAUCUUGAACAUACUUUAUUUUGCUAUCCAAGUUUCACAGGUCUUUAAGUGUGUUGAUUUUUAAAUUUCAAAACACCUUCCAGCUGUGUCUAGAAGUCAUUUUCAUAUUAGUAUAUACGCAGGCAAAACAGACAAACAAACAAAAAGCAGUGGAAGUAGUACACAGCCUUUUUUUUUUUUUUCAUGUUUUCCAUAUUCCUACACCUCCUCAAACUCAUCACAUUUCUGUCUCUAUGAAGUUUGAAACAAUGCUUCUUUAGGUGGUCAUUCAUCAGUUCAAGUAAUUUGGAUUGGGAGAGAAGAAAUCAGAAGUUGUUCCUUAGAACAAGAUGCAAGAAAUGCUGAUGCUUCAAGUAUUAGAAUCACUGAUCUCAGCAGACAGAGUAAGUUGAUGUGACCUAUCAACCUUAACCUUCAGAACACGUACACAUGUUUCCAGUCUAGCCCACUAAGCGGUUUUUAUAGGCAGUGGAGAAGGAAACAAAAUUUUUAAAAGAGGUUUACUUCAUCUGAAGUCUUAGACAAGUUGAAUGAAUUAUUAUUUGGAGAAGUAAAUUGUUGACAAGUCUAAAAAGCUGCUGGCUUUUAUUAGUUGGAUACUGCAGUAGUACUAGUAAUGUACCAAAAGGGCAAAAGUCUGUGUUUGAGCAAAAAGAAGAGUUGUGAUUCUAUCACAUAAGGAUGAUGAACUAUUUUGAAGUCUAUUUGUAACUGAGGGGGAUAUAAGACAACAUCUAAAUGAGCAAGUCUAGAUAAAUUGCACAUAAGAACCCUUAAAUAACUGGUGGGAGAGAGCUGUAUUCCAGCUUUGUGCUUCUCUGAGUAGCGUUUAAUGAAUUGUCGAGUUACCAGCAAUUACCAGAAGGGCAAGUUAUCUAUAGUAGUGACAGUACUCUUCAAGAGAUAUGCAAUCUUAAAAAUGUUGACAAGUUAAAAAUUGAACAGAAGCUUUUCUUUUACAUCUGUUUGCGUAUAUUUCUAUGAUCUUUUUCUCACACUUCUAUUCAGUAAAAUUAUAGUCUUGUGGAUAAAGCAACUCAGGAGAUUGAUGUUCAGUCUAAAUCUGCCUUUGCUUCAAUUGCUUGUGCGUAAGAAGAAGAUAAUAAAACUUUCACUCUCCUUCCUGUGAUCUUAGGAUUUCAAAGCAAAGAUUCCCUGUGUCAUGAAAGGGCCCAGGACAAUCGCAGAAGCUUUUGAACCACUCUCAUGAUACAAUGUGAACGUCUGGACCUAAUUCCAAGAUGACACACAGAGGAACAGACAGGUAGCUGCAUGCCUAAUUCCCCACACAAUUGGCUGAAAAUGCACCCCCUAGGAGCUGAAUUGGUAGAAGAUCAUCCAGGUACACAUUUGGAGGUCAUCUAGUCCAGCUUCCUUGAAGUGGAAAUAGUGCCAACACUGAAGCAUUGUUUUGUCCACACCUAGUUUUGAAAAUGUCCAAGAAUGGAGAUUUCACAGUUUGUCUGGACAACCUGUUGCAGUGUGGCAGUGGUUUUCUAAGAGAAGUUUGUUGUUUUGUUUUGUUUUGUUUUGUUUUUCUGAAUGUCCAGCCUGAAGAUUGCAAGCUGCACUUUGGCUGUUGCCCCUUGUUACACUGUCUGAUGCUACUUAGCACCAUUUGUCUCCCUCAGGCUUGUAACCACCCUUUAAGCAGUAACAGAUUUCUGUGAGUUGCCUCUCAGCUUUCCCUUUGCUAGGCUAAUCAAACCCAGUAUCACUAACCUCUCCAUGUUGAUCAUAUUGUCUGUGCCCCACUGCUGUGGUUGCUGUCUGCUCAAUUCUCCCCAGUUUCUUCAGUUCUACUGUGAGCUACAAGGACCAAAAGUAUGCACAGCAGUCCAGCUGGGACCUCACCACUACUGUGUCUACAGAUACAGAGAGAAAGAGAAUAUAUCUGUGUCCAUGUAUUGUUAUAGUACAAAAGACAAGAUCAAAAAAGCACCUUCCCUUUAGAAAGAAGGUGGUGAAUUUUAGACUUGCUUUGUAGCUCUACUGUAAACAAAUUCUAAAGCAUAAGGUUGUCCCUGAUAGCAUUUGUCAUGUUCUUAAGGAGGCUUACCUGAAUUCUAUUGUUGUAGAGUAGCCAAGAUGGCCAUGAUUUGUCUCCCCAGUACAUUUGUCAAACUUGUAAAAAGAUUCAAAGACAGCUGAAGGUCAUGACUGUAAAUUCAAGAUAGAUCUUUACUUGCUGCAAAUACACCCCAGUUUAUUAAGUGCCUGCCCAGUGAUUUACCAUGUAAAUUAAAGCUAUUAAAGGGUUUGCUUUUACAUUCUGAGAAUUACCAGGAAAACAAGAAAAAAAAAAGUAUUAACUUUUCAGGAACUCUUAUUACAUACGGCUUGCUAAAAUGCAUGAAUUAAUGGCAAUCACAGCAGAAGUCAGAAUGACACAAAAGCAUCUGAAUUCAGGAGCUAGUAUUGACAAAGGUAAUCACCUGUAAUUAUCACUAUGUACAAAAAGUGUGUUAACAUUUAUAUUUUCUUGUCUCCUCCUAUGGUUCAAAGUUGUUAUAGUGAAGGUCUAUAGUGAUGGAUGAGAUGCAAGUAUUUGGCCUUACUGGGAGCAUUGCCCUUCCCUCUGGGCUUCUCAUUCUCUCUUUAAUAUACAAUUCAUUUAUUACCUGGACUUGAAUUCUACUCACUGGAGAAUCACCAAGGUUAGGUUUAUUCUGCCAUUUGUAAUUCAGUAGGUUUAAUAUUAUUACGCCGAAUGAGCUGACCAGGGAGAUUAGAAAAAAACUUUCCCCUCCUCUCGCUGCUCCCAUUACAUGUGGUGCCAUUAAAUACAGAACCUUUCAGAAUAGAUCAUUGCUUGUUUGAUGCAGUGGAUGGAAAUUCUCAUUUCAGUCAGGUAUUGAACUUUCAAAGGAAAGGAUGAUCGGGAGGAAUGGGAGAAACCUUGAUAUAUCAAAGCAAGCCCUUAACUAAUAAACACAAUUCCAACCCAGGGCUUAUCCCACAUAUAAAACGUGAACUAUAAGCAUUUCAAUGUAAGUGGUGUUCAUAAGGCUAUUUUAUAUGCAACACAAUACUGGUUACUUUUAUACCCAUUUAAGGUAUAUUUUCAUAAUGAAUCACAAAUAAAUAGUUUUUCUUCUCAUGAAUUCAAAAGAGAUUUCUAGUUUUUGUCCUGUACUUUGGCACAGAAAAUUGACACCUUUUUGGAACUGCCAGUGUUAUAAUCGGUAGAAAGAACCUAGACACCAUGAAUCUUCCUCAGGACACUUAAUUGGUUUUGUCUGUCCUCUCUGUAUUUCCAGCCCAGCUACUUGAGAACAAAUUAAAAAAUCUACUUUCUCACUAUAUAUGGAAAUUUGCUUCAGAGAAAUCAAGAAGAAACUUGCUGCUGUCUUCAGAGUACUUUUGGGUUGUGUCCAGUCCCACAGGGUUAUUUUCUUGGACAACCUUUGGAGCAUACAGAUAGAGAUUCUCCUAGGCACCACAACAGCAGAAAGCUGUUGUGUAAACCAAACAAAAAAGCUUGUUUCUUAAUUUUCUUUAUUACCCAUAGCUUCCUUAAGACUAUAGAGAAGGAAAAAUUGCCCCAAAUUUGAUCAACCUGUGUUCCAGGUCCUUUUAAAAAAUUUCUUUUACAAGUAAGAAAAAAUUGCUGUAUGCCCCUUACAUACACACAAGGUAAAUGUCAAUGGGAAGGCAAUAGCUGAAUGUCAUGGCAAAACUAUUAUGCUAAGUCACAAUUAAACAGAUCCUUAGUUAACGGUAACUGAGUUUCAAGGAUAGAUACAGCUUUGGAGGAAAAGUAAUAGUUUAUAAAGACUGUAUAUGCCCCAUUUGAAGAUACUGGAUUGACCUGGAGAACUUCUAAGCAAAGAAGAAAAUAUUUUGUGGAUGUCAAGGUCAGCAUUAAUGGAAGCAUGUAAGUGCAGAGCAUCAAUAACUUCAUAUAUUAUUAAUGUGGAAAAAUAAUAAAGGAACACCAAGGAUAGGCUUUGAAAGUGAGCAUGGGGAGAUUUUUCCUAUAUGAAAUGGGAAAAGGAGUCAUAGACAAGAGGUACUAUGACAGAGAUGGUUGGUCCAAGCAGUAGAUAUUGUUCUAGCAACAUUCUCACUGGCCUGAAAGGCAGAGAAAAAGAGGCUUAUCAAAGCCUGUACAGAAAAGGUUCUGUUUUCAAGUUGCUAUUGCUCCAUUAUCCUGUUGGCUCUGGGUCAGUUUUUGCUAUCCAUGAGAAGAAAUGGCUAUUGGAUGCAUUCCAGGUUGGUGCUUCUGUAGUUGCAGCAGAGCAGUGAAAAUAGAAUGAAAGAAAGAAAAAUUGAUUACAACCUGAAGGCUGGAUAUACAAAGCUGACAGAAAAUAGGAUGUUCACACUUCCUAACUUUUAGAUUAAGAAGUCUAAGUCCCAGCUAGGAAAAAAAGGUUCUUGGAGAGUCAGUGGACCUCUACAGCUUUCUUCAAAUGGUGAUUCACAGAACCUGAGUCAGGUUCCUAUUUGUUUUGCCGUGUCGAGAAAUCUUUGACUAGCUAAGAAGUCUACUGGUCUUACAGGUCGGUGAUGUGAACUUGUCUUUGUUCAAGCCUCUGUUUCAGGCAUCAUCCAUAGGUAAAUGGUUUCCAUUCAAAUCAGAUGUUAUUUACUUUAUUUUCUUUCCUCUCUGUGUAGAAGAAAAGAGAAUUUGUCUUACUUUGUCUUACUAAAUUAGUAGAAUAGCUGCAAAAGCAGUUUUAUUGGGAGAUUCAGACAUAUUGAUUUGCAAAAAAAACCCACGCAGAUUAAUGUAUGAACAGCAUACACUAAAAAGAAUGAAAACAGGCACAGAAAAUAUUUCCCUCCUGGCUAUUUUUGGACAAUUAUCUCUUUUACUCCAAACAAUUCUAUGAGCUUUAUCCUUCUCACAGUGACAUUAAGUGUUAUACUGGCAUAAGCUAUUUUAUCUUAUUAGUCUGGCUCUACACCAGAGUAAAUGAGAGCAGAAUUUGGACCUAUAUUAUUUCGAAUGUUAUUCAUUAAAAUUUAAUGAAUAACAACACCCCUGUCUCCCCUCCCCCAAAUGUUAAUUACAUGAAAGAUCAUGAGACUACCAUCCGUCUCUGUUUUUCUCCUUCUAGCUAUUUAAUUAGUUAUACAGAGAGAAAUUCUCUAGUAGGAUAGCCUGAGAAAGGCGAUAACCUGGUGGCUAGGAUAUGUCUUCCUGGUGUGAAAAACCUACAUUUGAAUUCCUAUCAUGCACAAAGUAAAACAACUCUAACAGACUUGAGCAGAUGCUACUUCACCUUUAAAAUAUUCAGAAUUAUCCUGACUGACAAAAGGUCAAUUUAAAAACAGCUGUUAGGGUGAAAGGGAAUUAUUGACAGACCCAAAUUUGAGUAUUCUGAUUUUUUUUUUGAAAGACCUAUAAUCUGUAGUAAAAAUAAUUAUGGUUUGUUUUUGACAUGAUGUUAGGAAAAAGUGUUGCUUGUUGUAAUGCACAGUAGUUCCUAAAUUCGACUAGAUUUGAGUUAUCUAUCCUUUGCUUAUAGAAAUCUGCUAAGAGCUACAGAGCAAAGGUGAUUUUCUUAUGACGUCAUAUUAUGGGACUCGGUUUUGGAGAGGAAAAGAUACAGGGAAACGUAGUUGAGCAUUUCACUACAUAUGAGCUAAAAAGGAAAAAAAAAGUAGAUAUGCAGAAAAAGUGGAUAUACAGUAGUGAAAGGCUAGCUGACUGCUUUGGAGUCACAAGACCCAGAAAAGCCCUUUUUAUUAAGAAAAAUAAUCCCAUUUUAUUGUAUUUCAGAAUCCCAUCAUCCCUCACAGUUUCCUACCUUGUCCUCUUUAUAAGCAUUCCCAAUGUUAUUAAAACAAUCAAAAUAAUGAACCGCUUUAUUGAAGUUAGUGCAAAAACUCCACAGGACUGGUGACCAGUGUGUGGGUACUGAGUCCCAAGGUGCAGCAGAUAGAUUCAGUUCUGUUGCAGAGGGUGGAUGACACUGGCCUCUAAAGCAGAAUUAAUUGUGACUCUGUAGCAAUACAGAAGACUGAAAUAUCAGAAAAGGACAAGAUUGGUGUCCCAUAAUGUGCAACUUAGCUCAGGAUUCAAAAGACUAACCUAAGGGGAGAGUCUGUACCUCCAAAUACCAUUAGCUGCGCCAGUGGUAGCCAGGCCAUUGGCAAUGGUGUAUCACAUAGAUGUUUCUGGAAGCACUCAGAGAUGAUGCAUCCUUCAUGCUUUGUUGUGCCCCAGAUAAGUCCUUUGCCAGGUGACCUGAUUGCAGGUGGUCCAUCAUACCCUGAAGAGAGACAGAUGGGAACUGGCUGCCAAAGGGAUUAAGCUGCCUUCACAGCCCCACUCCCUACUUGGCUUUGAAGAACUGCCAGUGACUUAAGGCCCCUUCAGAAGUGCUUUAAAUGCUCCCACUGUUCACUAAUACUACAGAUAGUAUCUUCUGCCUACCUCUGCUGGCUGAGAACAGAAGCUAGCACUUUGGCCAUGAAUCACUGCAAUCCAAUAGACUUGCUGAAUAAUUCCAAGGAGCUCCUUUCCUUCAGUGUCUACACAGUCUUCUGAAGCUACACCUAACAUAAUUCUGUGGGUCACAGGGAGAGCUUGUCUCUUAAAAGGAGUAUUUAUGAGCUGGACACAUUGAUAAACACGAAGCUGGCUCAUGCUUAGACAUUUAAACUCAACAAAGCUGAAUGACACCUGCCUGUAGACACGUCCCUUCUGAUGCCAACUUAAAGAAGUCAGUUUUUGUAAUUUCUUGCUAUACCUUUUUCUUUUGUCCCUUUAUCUAUCUAAAUAUAUCACACCAUCAUUAAUGCCAGUAUUCUACUCCACUAUCCAUCCCAAGACUAACCAGAAAGCUGGUGGAGAGAACAGGAGAAGAGAAAAAGAAGAAGAGAAGAGGGGGAAGGAGGA
Anas platyrhynchos (mallard) is the source of this 20359-nucleotide long non-coding RNA. RefSeq lists it as uncharacterized. The record is from RefSeq and is a predicted model, not a curated record. Lineage: Eukaryota; Metazoa; Chordata; Aves; Anseriformes; Anatidae.